Molecule: non-coding RNA, 68 nt
Organism: Serratia odorifera DSM 4582
Lineage: Bacteria; Pseudomonadati; Pseudomonadota; Gammaproteobacteria; Enterobacterales; Yersiniaceae
Source: Rfam
CCUCGUAGUGCCGGUGCCGACCGGCGCUGCGAGGGCUUCUUUCCGUCUGCAACGAGGGUCUGCUCGUG